GCCGGUCCUGGGCCAAGCCCAAUGAAACAUUCGCCUUGGGCCCCAAAAAUUUUUGGAAAUUUUUUUAUGUAAAUAGACCCCUAAUUUGUAAAAAAAAAAUAUUUUAGGUCUCCAAAUUUUUGAAAUCUUUACUAAAUGGUCUUGGGCCUCCAAACUCUCGGGGUUGGCCCUGACUAUAUGUCUUUGUGUGUGUGUGGGGGGGGUUUUGAUUCAGAUUUGUUUUUGUUCUUGGUGGAGGAAGAUGGAGAAGGAGCUUGACGGAGGAGGAUGUAUACGAAGCUUGACGGAGGAGGCUCCUCACUGUGACUUCUCCGACGACAAGCCCUUUGCCCGAGCUUGCUCCCCUGAAUUCACCAUCCAGAGCGACGACAAGCAUGGACGUGGAGGAUGAUUCUUCGUGUAUCGUGGUACGCCACACCAUGAUCCUUAUAUUGAGUGGUUGAAGGAUGGUUCUAUGUUUGUUACUCAAGCAGUUGUUGUCAUUUGUGAGGCCAAGCUCAAAAGCUCAUAUGUAAUAUUGAAUAAGAGUAUGGUUCUAUGAACAGCAAGCAAAAGUAGAAUAAGAUUAUGGUUCUAUGUUUGUAAAAUCAGUAAUAAUGUUUUCCAAGAUGUAAUAUAUGUGUUUUAUACCUUUACAAAUCAAAGAAAUAAGAAACUGCAAUGGCUUUCAGAUUCAAAACAUGACGUUUAUUGUGUAUUUCUUCUCAUAUUUGGAUCUCCCAUACUCUGCAAAAAAUAUAUGUUGGCUGAUCAUUUUUAACUUUUUAAGAAGUAAAACCAACUAAGUUUCUAAUUAUAAACAUGUAACACUUUUAAUGAGUACUUGAUAUUAUUGAAGAUAUUGAUACAAUUUCAAUAGCAAAAUACAAUAACACAAAAAAAAUUAGUCAAAUUUACUACAAGUAACUAAGGGAGAAACUUAUAAAGAAAACUUAGUCAAAUUCACAAAAGAUCAAACAUUACAUUAGUUCAAACAUAUAACUCAAAUUUUAAGUGAAAAUUGAAAUUUUAAAUUUCAUGAAAGUUAAAAAGUAUAUCUUAUGUUCUAAGAAGACACGUAAAACCAUAUGACUUGAUAUUCUUGAAGUUACUUAACACUUUUGAAAGUUUAAAAAAUAUAUAUGAAAGUUGAAAAUACAAGUUUAAAAAAAACUAACGUAGAAGACUUCUGGGGAAAUCUUAUCUCAUUAGCUUGAAACAUUAAUAAGUAUGAAUGUUAUUAACUUCAUAAUUAUUACCAAUUAAGUUAUGAAUUUCAUUCAGGAGUCCUAAUAUUGACUAAUAUAGAUGAAUUAACAAGAAAAUGUUGCAAAAGGAGUAAGGGUCUCUUUCUAUCCCAGAGAGAGAAAACUCUCUUUUUCCUCCUUCUUAUCAAUUCUAAAUCUUUCGGAGGAAAAGAUUUUUGUUUAUGUAUGUUUUUGUUGUAAAGCUUCGAUCGUGAGAUCGAUUAUCUACUUUGCUAGGCGAUUUUCUCUUUCGUUUUAGACGAUUUUGUUGUGGGUUUCAAAUCAAAACGGGUUUUUCUUCAUGUUUCAACCUUACCGAUUUGUUUUGAUUCAAUAAAAUUCCGGUUAGCGGAUCCUUUUUGCUUCUCUUCCCUGUGUUUAUGGUUAUACCGAUCGAUCUUAGAAAUUUCUUAUUUGUAUCAGCUGGUCAAGCUUUGUUUCUUUAUUGGGUGAGGAAUCAAUCUUCCCUACUGUCAAGGUGAAGUCUCCUCUAAGAUAAAGAAAGAAGACGAUUGAUGAAGGGAUAAAGAGUUAGCAAGGAUUUAGAUUAGUCAAGAGUCUUUUAUGGAGGCGUUUUGGCAAGGUCAUGUUGCUGUUUCUUUUGAAGCUUCUCAUGGAUUCACCUCUGGCGGUAUGAAGAAGAAUCUCUAUGGUCAUCGGCGAUUAAGGGAUGGAGGAGCAAGCAAGUGAAUUGGACUGAGCGGUGAAGAGGCCCGGUGGUUCUUAGACCGACAUGUAGCCGGUGGUGGCAUCGGUUCUCUCUUCUCGAUUUCCAGAAAGGACGAGCACCACAUCACCUAAUAUGUGUCCCACAUGCGGAAUUUUGUUUAUCAUAUUAAGGACUGUAAACGUAGGAUUUGGGCUUUGUUGGGCUUCAAGAGUUUUGCAAAUUGAAAUGAGUUCAAAUUA
Brassica napus (rape) is the source of this 2135-nucleotide long non-coding RNA. RefSeq lists it as uncharacterized. The record is from RefSeq and is a predicted model, not a curated record. The transcript has 3 exons. NCBI's taxonomy places the organism in Eukaryota, Viridiplantae, Streptophyta, Magnoliopsida, Brassicales, Brassicaceae.